RNAcentral lists this ribosomal RNA (465 nucleotides) under uncultured Weissella sp. RNAcentral's name for it is "bacterial SSU rRNA". It matches the Rfam family "Bacterial small subunit ribosomal RNA", at positions 338 to 795 of the family's 1533-position model. Lineage: Bacteria; Bacillati; Bacillota; Bacilli; Lactobacillales; Lactobacillaceae. The record is from RNAcentral.
CCUACGGGGGGCAGCAGUAGGGAAUCUUCCACAAUGGACGAAAGUCUGAUGGAGCAACGCCGCGUGAGUGAUGAAGGGUUUCGGAUCGUAAAACACUGUUGUUAGAGAAGAAUGAGAUUGAGAGUAACUGUUCAGUGCUUGACGGUAUCUUACCAGAAAGCAACGGCUAAAUACGUGCCAGCAGCCGCGGUAAUACGUAUGUUGCAAGCGUUGUCCGGAUUUAUUGGGCGUAAAGCGAGCGCAGACGGUUUUUUAAGUCUGAAGUGAAAGCCCACGGCUUAACUGGGGAGGGGCUUUGGAAACUGGAUGACUUGAGUGCAGAAGAGGAGAGUGGAACUCCAUGUGUAGCGGUGAAAUGCGUAGAUAUAUGGAGGAACACCAGUGGCGAAGGCGGCUCUCUGGACUGUAACUGACGUUGAGGCUCGAAAGCGUGGGUAGCAAACAGGAUUAGAUACCCUAGUAGUC